This is a small nuclear RNA of Oryctolagus cuniculus (rabbit), 111 nucleotides long. The record is from Ensembl. NCBI's taxonomy places the organism in Eukaryota, Metazoa, Chordata, Mammalia, Lagomorpha, Leporidae.
AUACACUGCUGAAAAGAAUGUGUAUUCUCUAAAAUUGGAAUGAUACAGAGAAGAUUAGCAUGGCCCCUGUAAAAGGAUGACACACAAAUUCGUGAAGCGUUUCAUAUUUUU